AGAGUUUGAUCCUGGCUCAGAAUGAACGCUGGCGGCGUGCUCAACACAUGCAAGUCGAACGGUAACAGGAGGAAGCUUGCUUUCUUGCUGACGAGUGGCGCACGGGUGAGUAAUGCAUAGGUAACGUGCCCCUUAGUCUGGGAUAGCCACUGGAAACGGUGAUUAAUACUAGAUACGCCUUCUCUCUUGAUGAAAGUUGUGAAAGUUUUUCGCUAAGGGAUCGGCCUAUGUUGUAUCAGGUAGUUGGUGAGGUAAUGGCUCACCAAGCCUAUGACACAUAGCGGGUCUGAGAGGAUGAUCCGCCACACUGGUACUGAGACACGGACCAGACUCCUACGGGAGGCAGCAGUGGGGAAUAUUGCACAAUGGACGAAAGUCUGACGCAGCAACGCCGCGUGGAGGAUGACACAUUUCGGUGCGUAAACUCCUUUUAUAUGAGAAGAUAAUGACGGUAUCAUAUGAAUAAGCACCGGCUAACUCCGUGCCAGCAGCCGCGGUAAUACGGAGGGUGCAAGCGUUAUUCGGAAUCACUGGGCGUAAAGGGUGCGUAGGCGGUUUGGAAAGUCAGAUGUGAAAGCCUACAGCUUAACUGUAGAACUGCAUUUGAAACUUCCAGACUAGAAUACUGAAGGGCAGAUGGAAUUAGUGGUGUAGGGGUAAAAUCCGUAGAGAUCACUAGGAAUACCGAAAGCGAAAGCGAUCUGCUGGGAAGUUAUUGACGCUGAGGCACGAAAGCGUGGGGAGCAAACGGGAUUAGAUACCCCGGUAGUCCACGCCCUAAACGAUGAAUGCUAGUCGUCGGAAAGCUCGUCUUUUCGGUGAUGCAGUUAACACAUUAAGCAUUCCGCCUGGGGAGUACGGUCGCAAGAUUAAAACUCAAAGGAAUAGACGGGGACCCGCACAAGUGGUGGAGCAUGUGGUUUAAUUCGAAGAUACGCGAAGAACCUUACCUAGCCUUGACAUUGAUAGAAUCUGGUAGAGAUACCGGAGUGCCUGCUUGCAGGAGCUUGAAAACAGGUGCUGCACGGCUGUCGUCAGCUCGUGUCGUGAGAUGUUGGGUUAAGUCCCGCAACGAGCGCAACCCUCGUCGUUAGUUGCUAACAGUUCGGCUGAGCACUCUAGCGAGACUGCCUUCGCAAGGAGGAGGAAGGUGAGGACGACGUCAAGUCAUCAUGGCCCUUAUGGCUAGGGCUACACACGUGCUACAAUGGGGCGUACAGAGAGUUGCGAUACCGCGAGGUGGAGCUAAUCUCACAAAGCGUCUCUCAGUUCGGAUUGUUCUCUGCAACUCGAGAACAUGAAGCUGGAAUCACUAGUAAUCGUAGAUCAGCAAUGCUACGGUGAAUACGUUCCCGGGUCUUGUACUCACCGCCCGUCACACCAUGGGAGUUGAUUUCACCCGAAAUCGGGAAGCGAACCUUCGGGACGCUACCGCUUACGGUGGAAUUAGCGACUGGGGUGAAGUCGUAACAAGGUA
Molecule: ribosomal RNA, 1477 nt
Filed under: metagenome
Description: bacterial SSU rRNA
Rfam family: Bacterial small subunit ribosomal RNA
Source: RNAcentral